CAUGGGCGAAGCCUGACGGAGCACGCCGCGUGAGGGAUGAAGGCCUACGGGUUGUAAACCUCUUUUUCCAAGGAGGAAGAUCUGACGUUACUUGGAGAAUAAGCAUCGGCUAACCCUGUGCCAGCAGCCGCGGUAAUACAGGGGAUGCAAGUGUUAUCCGGAUUCAUUGGGCGUAAAGCGUCUACAGGUUGAUAUUUAAGUCUUUUGUUAAAUCUUGGAGCUUAACUCCAAACAUGCAAAGGAAACUAUUUAUCUAGAGUAUGGUAGAGGUAAAGGGAAUUUCUAGUGGAGCGGUGAAAUGCGCAGAGAUUAGAAGGAACACCAAAAGCGAAGGCACUUUACUGGGCCAUUACUGACACUCAUUGACGAAAGCUAGGGGAGCAAACGAGAUUAGAUACCUCGGUAGUCCUAGCCCUAAACUAUGGAUACUAGAUGUUGAACGAUUUAUAUCGUACAGUGUCGUAGCUAACGCGUUAAGUAUCCCGCCUGGGAAGUAUGCUCGCAAGAGUGAAACUCAA
RNAcentral lists this ribosomal RNA (518 nucleotides) under uncultured bacterium. Its description in RNAcentral is "bacterial SSU rRNA". It matches the Rfam family "Bacterial small subunit ribosomal RNA", at positions 370 to 904 of the family's 1533-position model. The record is from RNAcentral.